This 492-nucleotide ribosomal RNA is filed under the name uncultured bacterium. RNAcentral describes it as "partial 16S ribosomal RNA". It matches the Rfam family "Bacterial small subunit ribosomal RNA", at positions 30 to 507 of the family's 1533-position model. The record is from RNAcentral.
AUUGAACGCUGGCGGUAGGCCUAACACAUGCAAGUCGAACGGCAGCACAGUAAGAGCUUGCUCUUACGGGUGGCGAGUGGCGGACGGGUGAGGAAUACAUCGGAAUCUACUUUUUCGUGGGGGAUAACGUAGGGAAACUUACGCUAAUACCGCAUACGACCUACGGGUGAAAGCAGGGGAUCUUCGGACCUUGCGCGAUUGAAUGAGCCGAUGUCGGAUUAGCUAGUUGGCGGGGUAAAGGCCCACCAAGGCGACGAUCCGUAGCUGGUCUGAGAGGAUGAUCAGCCACACUGGAACUGAGACACGGUCCAGACUCCUACGGGAGGCAGCAGUGGGGAAUAUUGGACAAUGGGCGCAAGCCUGAUCCAGCAAUACCGCGUGGGUGAAGAAGGCCUUCGGGUUGUAAAGCACUUUUGUUGGGAAAGAAAAGCAGCAGGUUAAUACCCCGCUGUUCUGACGGUACCCAAAGAAUAAGCACCGGCUAACUUCGUG